Molecule: ribosomal RNA, 579 nt
Filed under: uncultured bacterium
Lineage: Bacteria
Description: bacterial SSU rRNA
Rfam family: Bacterial small subunit ribosomal RNA
Source: RNAcentral
ACGGGUGAGUAAUGUCUGGGGAUCUGCCCGAUAGAGGGGGAUAACCACUGGAAACGGUGGCUAAUACCGCAUAACGUCGCAAGACCAAAGAGGGGGACCUUCGGGCCUCUCACUAUCGGAUGAACCCAGAUGGGAUUAGCUAGUUGGCGGGGUAACGGCCCACCUAGGCGACGAUCCCUAGCUGGUCUGAGAGGAUGACCAGCCACACUGGAACUGAGACACGGUCCAGACUCCUACGGGAGGCAGCAGUGGGGAAUAUUGCACAAUGGGCGCAAGCCUGAUGCAGCCAUGCCGCGUGUAUGAAGAAGGCCUUCGGGUUGUAAAGUACUUUCAGCGGGGAGGAAGGCAGUGAGGUUAAUAACCUUACUGAUUGACGUUACCCGCAGAAGAAGCACCGGCUAACUCCGUGCCAGCAGCCGCGGUAAUACGGAGGGUGCAAGCGUUAAUCGGAAUUACUGGGCGUAAAGCGCACGCAGGCGGUCUGUUAAGUCAGAUGUGAAAUCCCCGGGCUUAACCUGGGAACUGCAUUUGAAACUGGCAGGCUUGAGUCUCGUAGAGGGGGGUAGAAUUCCAGGUGUA